GUGCCAGCCGCCGCGGUAAUACGAAGGGGGCUAGCGUUGUUCGGAAUUACUGGGCGUAAAGCGCACGUAGGCGGACAUUUAAGUCAGGGGUGAAAUCCCAGAGCUCAACUCUGGAACUGCCUUUGAUACUGGGUGUCUUGAGUAUGGAAGAGGUGAGUGGAAUUCCGAGUGUAGAGGUGAAAUUCGUAGAUAUUCGGAGGAACACCAGUGGCGAAGGCGGCUCACUGGUCCAUUACUGACGCUGAGGUGCGAAAGCGUGGGGAGCAAACAGGAUUAGAAACCCUCGUAGUCC
RNAcentral lists this ribosomal RNA (292 nucleotides) under uncultured bacterium. RNAcentral describes it as "partial 16S ribosomal RNA". It matches the Rfam family "Bacterial small subunit ribosomal RNA", at positions 505 to 796 of the family's 1533-position model. The record is from RNAcentral.